GAGUUUGAUCUUGGCUCAGAUUGAACGCUGGCGGCAGGCCUAACACAUGCAAGUCGAGCGGAUGACGGGAGCUUGCUCCUUGAUUCAGCGGCGGACGGGUGAGUAAUGCCUGGGAAUCUGCCUGGUAGUGUGGGACAACGUUUCGAAAGGAACGCUAAUACCGCAUACGCCCUACGGGAGAAAGCAGGGGACCUUCGGGCCUUGCGCUAUCAGAUGAGCCUAGGUCGGAUUAGCUAGUUGGUGGGGUAAUGGCUCACCAAGGCGACGAUCCGUAACUGGUCUGAGAGGAUGAUCAGUCACACUGGAACUGAGACACGGUCCAGACUCCUACGGGAGGCAGCAGUGGGGGAAUAUUGGACAAUGGGCGAAAGCCUGAUCCAGCCAUGCCGCGUGUGUGAAGAAGGUCUUCGGAUUGUAAAGCACUUUAAGUUGGGAGGAAGGGCAGUAAGUUAAUACCUUGCUGUUUUGACGUUACCGACAGAAUAAGCACCGGCUAACUCUGUGCCAGCCG
Molecule: ribosomal RNA, 511 nt
Filed under: bacterium enrichment culture clone ALO1_GLFRUDD03FNSU6
Lineage: Bacteria
Description: bacterial SSU rRNA
Rfam family: Bacterial small subunit ribosomal RNA
Source: RNAcentral